RNAcentral lists this long non-coding RNA (7971 nucleotides) under Sorghum bicolor (sorghum). RNAcentral describes it as "long non-coding RNA (SBIC_LNC006534)". Lineage: Eukaryota; Viridiplantae; Streptophyta; Magnoliopsida; Poales; Poaceae. The record is from RNAcentral.
GUGUCUUGAGCAGUUAAAAGAUAGAACAGUCUAGUUAAGCGCCAUGUCUCUUUGUCUUUGAUUAACUAUAGCUCUGGAGUUUUUGCAGAUUUUCAAAUAAAACUCAGAGAUUCCUUGUAUGACUCUCUCAAAUCUCUCUUUUGUGGUAUUUCUGGAUCCUUUCCAAGGCAGUAAUGGUAUAUGCCUUUUCUCAAAGUAUGUGGUAUUUUUGGUAUGAGGCAUAGUGAUAUUGCCUUCUCUCUCACCCUACUCUAAUAAGGUCUUGAUAUCUGGAGCUCAUAGGUGGGAGAUAGAUAAUACAUACUUAAGACAUAUAUUGCAUAGUCAAACCAUGGAUCCAGAAGAACAAGUCAAUAAGUCAAAUCAAGAUGUGCAUGUGUGGCGAAUAAAUGGUGUAUGGUGAUGAUGGUGAUAACAAUGGUGAAAGUCUAAUUUUACUUUUGCUCUUUUAAGGGGAUACAUACCUUUCUUGCACUUUGAAGCUUUUUGAGGAGAAUGAGAUGCUCUACAAUUUCUUUUUCUUUCCUCUCAGGUGGGUAUCUUGUACCCCUAAUUCUACUGUCGGACACUUGUCCAUUUUUACCUCUCGUCUCACUUUUUCUUUUCUUCGAGGUUCCAGGCACUUGCCCCUUUUUAUUUCCUCGUAUCCUUUCUCUUUCUCUUUUUUUUCUUUUUUAGAGCACUCAUCUCCUGAAAUAAUAUAGCAAGUGGCAGUAACCAAGAUAGCUCGAGCAUUUUAUUUCAUAGAUGAAAACAGAAAUAGGAGAAUGUUUUUGGCUAUUCUCUCUCGGAUUAGGAGUAGAAUAAUUUUAGGUGAAUCUGGAGAUGGAAUUGAGUGGAUGUUUAUGGAUGCGUACUUCCAGAGUAGAAGUAGCAUGUAUGAGUGAACGUGCAAGUGAAUCUUGAUUUUAACCGCGUGACAAGUGUUUAUAUUUGGUAACGCCAUCAGGAAAUGAUCCGCAAGCGCACGGAUAUCGGUGAGCACUUCACCCGGGAGGUUAUCCAGAGUAUCGUAUUUAUAUUUUUACCACUGGGAGAAAGCGUGCAUCUGACUAACUAAAUCUAUUGCUACUACCCUUUAGGCUACAAAGAAUGUGACUCGAUGUGAGCGAUGUAUAGAGAAGACUACAACCGUAGUCUCGUUCUAACCUUGGUAAGGAUGAUCUACUGUUCUAUUGGGGAAGCUUACGGAAUCUAGACACCACAAAGGAUGUUCAACCCGCGCCUAUAAACCCUACCUAUCCUGCUAACGAGAUGUGGGAUGCAAAGGUAACUCGGAAAUGUCACGUUCCUCGCUACUACCACGGUCCAGCUAGUCAGGGGAUAUCUAUGAGUACCCUAGCCCAAACACCACGUUUAUGCUAGCAAUGAUUACUCUAAACUCAACCGGAAGAGAUUAAAGUAAACUCAUAACCCAAAGAACAAUAAAACAAGAACUUACUAGAAUUUAGAAGUCGAAUUACUGAAGAAUCCUAGGAGCAAGCCUAGGGUCAGGAGAACUUGAUCCCGUAGGUACAACCUCGGAGUAAACACUGAUAGGCCAGGCUUCCUCCGAUCUACACCUCCACUCUAUCUCUCUCAAUCUAGUAGAGCUUAGAAGAACUAAAUCUACUCUCACAUUGGAUGCUAAGCCCUAAGUCUAUUUAGAGGAGAGGUUAUCCUUCGAGGGCUCCUCUCAACUCUAUGAUGACCUUGUUCUCCUCCAGGGGCCAGGGGGUCUGCUUAUAUAGUCGCCUCUAGUGAAUCUGGGCCGUCGGAUCAAACCGACAUUGAUUGAACGGUUAUCCUUGAUCCUUUAGGUUGGUGGAGCGUAAUCCCCGAAACAAGUCCUGAUUGGACUCUGGGACAGGGCAUGUGCCCUAAGGGGGAGGGUGGGCGCCCUGCCCUCGGGCCUGUUCGCCUUCCCGUUUGUUCCCGUGGCUUCUGGAGUCUUCUAGAUGACAGAAAAUUGUGCGGCAUGUUAAUAUCUCUAUGUAAACCCGACGUGUGGGCCUUUCUUCCGUAUUUCCUGAUAACCCCCUGCAGAAAUAGACAAACACCAAAACUCGUGGAAUUCUGUCAGAUAAAACCCUAAGUCUGUGUGUUGGUGGCAUUUGGAUCCUUUUCUUUAUUUAUUUGAUGAUUAUAUUUGGUACUUAAGGAUCGUCAGCAAACUCCCCCAAGCUUACCUCUUGCUCGUCCUUGAGCAAGGAUAGACUCAAAAGUUUCUGUAGUGGUUUCAUGCCUUAAAAGUACACAUGCGUUCAAGCAAGAUCUCAUCUCUGAGUUAGAGUGAACUGUUAAGACUUAAAACUUACUCAUUUUACCUUUCACCAUGGGGCUUCAACCAUCACUUGUGUCUUCAAUAGUUAAAAGAUAGAACGGUCAAGUCAAGCGCCAUGUUUCUUGUUCUUGAUCAACUAUAGCUCUGGAGUUUUUGUAGAUUUUCAAAUAAAACUCAAAGAUUCCUUGUAUGACUAUCUCAUAUCUCUCUUUUGUGGUAUUUCUGGAUCCUUACCAAGGCAGUAAUGGUAUAUGCCUUCUCUCAAACUAUGUGGUAUUUUUGGUAUAAGGCAUAGUGAUGUUGCCUUCUCUCUCACCCUACUCUAAUAAGGUUUUGAUAUCUGGAGCUCAUAGGUGGGAGACAGUUAAUACAUACUUACAAGACAUUUAUUGCAUAGUCAAACCAUGGAUCUAGAGAAACAAGUCAAUAAGUCAAAUCAAGAUGUGCAUGUGUGGCGAAUGAAUGGUGUAUGGUGAUGAUGGUGAUAACAAUGGUGAAAUUCUAAUGCUACUUUUGCUCUUUUGAGGGGAUACAUACCUUUCUUGCACUUUGAAGCUUUUUGAGGAGAAUGAGAUGCUCUAUAUUUUCUUUUUCUUUUCUCUCAGGUGGGUAUCUUUGUACCCCUAAUUCUACUGUCGGACACUUGUCCAUUUUUACCUCUCGUCUCACUCUUUCUUUUCUUCGAGGUUCCGGGCACUUGCCCCUUUUUAUUUCCUCGUAUCUCUUUUUUUAUUAUUUUUUUAUUUUUUAGAGAACUCAUCUCCUUAAAUAAUAUAGCAAGUGGUAGUAACCAAGAUAACUCGAGCAUUUAUUUUACAGGGAAAAACAGAAAUGUUUUUGGCUAUUCUCUCCUGGAUUAGGAGUAGAAUACUUUUGGGUGAAUCUGGAGAUAGAAAUGAGUGGAUGUAUGUGGAUGCGUACUUUCGAAGUAGAAGCAGCAUGUAUAAGUGAACGUGCAAGUGAAUCUUGAUUUUAACCGCAUGACAAGCUCCUAAGGGUCUACACAGCUUGACCACACUCAAUGCUCAUAAGUAGUAAAAAGUAAAUGUGUGGCUCAAAGUCUAGCAAGCAUGUAUAUAUGGUUGUGGUAGGAAUUUAAACUCUCAUCAUAUAGGAACUCAUCAUGUGUUAUUUUAAAGAUUUUCAAAGAUAAAAUUCUCCAGAAUUCUAGCAUCUCUAGGAAUAGAUAAACUACAACUCAACCUUCCCAUAUCGUAUCCGUUAACAACUUAGACUUUAGAUCAAGUACUCUUCCCAUAAUUUCAGGUUUAGAGCUGGUUUAAAUUAUAACAGUUAUGCCUAAACUUGAGAGAGAACUCAAAUUUGAAAACUAGGUACAUGGCAGAGCAACUAUUCAUCAUUUCCAUGUGAGAGGUUCAUAGCAAACUUUAUUUAUUUAUUUAUUUAGCAAACUAAGCAAACAUAUAUAUAUGAGCAUAAAAUCUUUAUUUUGGUUUUUAUGAUUAUGCAUCUUUUUAUUAUUUGAGUAAAGUAUAAACAAGAGUAGAACACUUAGCUGGAUAAAUGGGGGUGCUCUCCCCCAAGCUGGAUUUUGCCGUAAUUUCUUCUGAUGUAGCUAGCAGGUGACGGAGGUGUAUUUGAAUGUCAGCAGCACCCUGACAACAAUUACUAUGUCCUCCGUCGGCUAGUCUUCUUUGAUCCUUGAAUUCUGUGGAGCUCAAAUAGACAAGAAAGCUUUGUGGAACUGGUUAAGUGUUAGCAUAAAUAUCUUGCCUUUAUUAUGUUGAGUCUCCUCAAUAAAUGUUACUCUCUUUGGUAGGAUCACAAUCUUAUUUUCAUUUUUAUAGAGCAGAAAAAAUAUUUAUUUUAUUUUUAUGCCACCAUAGUGAAUGUACUUAUGGGUUUUAGGCCACUCGUAUACUCACAUGGGGCUUACUAUUUUUUAACAUUUUUAUUUUCUUUUCAAGAUAGUAUGAACCCGAUUAACUAAACAAGCUAUUUAAAGAAAAUAAAUAAUUGAAGGGAAGGUGACAACUACCAAGUUUACCUCAUGGCACGGCGUUUGGCGUUUUUAAGUCCUCCCAUGUGGACUCCUUGUGUUUUCAGUCGUCCUAGGAUUCAGGCGGUGCCUCCUCUUCUAGUACAACUCUCUUCUCUAUCCACACCUGAUUUGGUGCUACGGUCUCCUCUGGACAAUCCUGUUCAAGAUGUAUAUCUUUCAACCUUAUUACAUCUCCUUUGUAGUCUGCCCAUCCGUCCUUGAUGAUUUGCCUCCUCUAGUUUCGGUUGUGUCACCUUCUUCUCAUCCUGAUCUGCUUAGAAUCUUCAACUAUAUAAUUAGAAUCAUUAAAGUAGUGGCGUACCUUCUCAGAGGGGAAGUGCAUGUGGACUUCUCGGUUCCAAUAUAGAUGAUAACUUUGAUAGUGUUGUGGAACAGUCUUCCAAGGAUGAUGGGUGGAUCGUACUCGUCUUCUCCCAUGUCAAUGACCUGAAAAUCAUCUGGAGCUGAAUGUAUGUUGGUUGUAGGGGCAUGGUUCCAUGCAGGAGCUGAUAAGUGAGUGCGGCUAUUAUGUUGACGUCAGAUCCGGUGUCGUAGAGUGUCUUCUGAAAAGAGUAUCCGUUGGUUGUGCACUCGAUGCUUGGAACACCAGGGUCGUCCGUGUUCAUCCUUUAGGUGCAUCAUUUGAUUAGGUGUGGGCCUUGACAUCUGCACCUCUUGAUACGGUGUCACCCAUGUUCUUCGUUUGUCCAGUAGUUCGAGAUGUGGCAUUGGCAGCAUCCUGCUCAGUGUGUUUGUGCUCGUAGAUCCAAGUUCUUCACUUCGUGGAAUCUAGGAGUUGUAAAACUCCUUCAAGUUUUGCUCGAAGUGUACCUGCUCAUAGAGACAAGGCAGAGAUCAAGUGCAUGGGCCCUAUUGGUGAAAAACACCAACAGAACCAAAAGUGUAUUUGUUCUUCUCUAACCUUAAGCAUGGUGAGCAAGACAAAGUUGAUGGAUAAUAAGAUCAUGAGUGUAUUAUUUGAAACAUUUGUCAGAUCAGAUUGCUCAACCCAAUGGGAAGAUAAUCCAUCCAUAUUUAUGUUUUGUUUAUAUCUUCUAAAGAUUGAAUGUGCAACAUUUUAGCUUAUAUGAUUAGGAGUGUGGGAUCACGAAGGUAGUACUAGGAACAAAGAUUAAAGGACUAAACAUGCUGAAUCAGUUGGGUUGGUUAAUUUGGAGUUACAAAUCAUACAUGUUUGUCUCUUUAUUUAUGUGAAUACCGGAACCAAGGAGAAGCUUAUAAAACUAAUAGUCACAUAUCUUAAGAUGUUACCUUAAUUGAAGAGUGAUCGUACAGUAUCACCUUGUGCAAGCUUUCCUUUCUUAGCGGUUGUGCACCGUGUUUGUGGCACUCUUUGUCUCGUUCCAUGGAUCAUCUCUCUAUUAGAAUGAGCUAUGUCUUCCUUGUGCAAAUUGUUAAACUUCAUGUGUCUCCUUUGUCUCCAAUGUGAGUUCGUAUCUCAGGACUUCCCAGGUUGAUAUUGAAAGUUUUCCUGCAGGGGUUAGUCCGACAAAAUAUACCAAUGUCUACUCAAGCAGUUUUUAGUUCAGUAACCAAACUAAACUCCAUAUCUAAUCAGAUUAAGGAAGGCUUUUAACCUAAGCGCCAUGCUUAAUUUAAAAGCCAAUAGAAGUAUGUGCAGUACUUCCAAACUAACACUUACUAGGAUAAACAAAGGUAGCCUGAUGGCUUUUAUAGAGAUCUACUCAAGUGGAGAUGAAGUAGUGUGAUUAGUAUUUAACAAAUUGAGCAUGUCUCAAAGGUAGGGACAACCAACACAGCAACAUGGCAAAUGAUGUUUUUAUGUAAGGUAUUUUCCCCAAGCUUGAAUUUUGCAAAAUUCAAGAUUGGAUGAAUUUAAUUCAAUGUUGCAUGAUGAUUGGCAUACCUUGUGCUUGUCAUUCCUCAGAUCUUCUUGCUCUAAUCCUAGAGAGGUUAGUGACACGAAUACCCAACGGAAUAUUUCUACAAUUAUCUUUAUAUGCUCAAUGCACAAGGCAAUGUUGCAAAUAAUUAAAAGUUCAUGUUACGAUUUGAUAAGUGCUUGUUUUAGGACACUAAGCUUGUCCUUGGGAAACCAUCAAAUUAUGUUGGCGAAAUGGUUUCCCCUCAAACACUGACCUAUAAUGAGAUCUGCAAUAUUUACUAUAGACAUAUGCAUCGACAACCGCCCUUUUAAAGUUUAUAUAAAUAGAAAGGAUGAGGGGGUAGGAGAUCUUAAUUGUGGUAUGGUUGAAGAGACCAAUUGAUUGGGGAGAUGUUUUAUAUGAGCAAGGACUUGGUGAGGUAUUUAUGAAAUAACUUCCAUGGUCACUUUUGUUUCUCUCAUUCUCAAACUCCAAGGAUGAUUCUUCAUGAAUGCUUAAAAUUCCUCUAGGAUUCUCUCUCAAGUUUGUUUUAUCCAUCCAUUCAAUGGUGAUAGGACAUGGACUUUUAAUGCCCUCUAGCCAUUGAUGUUGCUCUUCUCGAUCCUCCUUGUGGUCUUGGUGACUCUUAUGCUUGGGAUGUCUAGAUAGAUUCAUAGGAUCAUCGAGAGGUUCAAGAGAAAGAGCAUAGUAGAAAUUAUUAGGCUCAAGGAUGGGUUUAAAAAUAGGUUCGAAUGAGUCAUCAAAAGUGGGCGUAGAAGGGGAGAAGAUGAUAUUGUCUUCUAAAUGGCUUCGCUCUCCUUCUAUUGCAUCACUUAAGAUGCCAUCCUUGAGUCUUUCGAGAUGUCCAUCAAAGGGAUUGGAUUUGAGAUGCACUCUAAGAGAUUCCUUCUUAGGAAGGUUCAGAUUAUAUGUACUCAAAGGUCUCUUAUGAAGCAGGAAGUUUAAGCUCAUCCCAAAAUGACUUUCCAAAGGUAGAAUUUCUUCUUCUCUUAGAUGAUUUUGGAGCACUACUAGUUUUGGUUGGAUAGCCGAAUUAUGGGAUUGAAAUGUUUGGAAAUCGGCUAUUGAAACUUCCUUUCCUCGUCUGGGAGAUGAUUCCUUCUCUAUCUCUAGGAUUUUUUAUGAAGACUAGUGCAAGAAGGAUGUCCACGAAUGAAGACAUACCUUGCUUUACUAACAGAUAAAGAAAGAAAAACUCUACCAAAGGUUAUAUGAUUAAGACCAAUGUGAAAAUAUCGAGGAAAAACAUGGUCUUGUAGGGUUAGGUCUAAACCAGAAUUUAUAGAAAGAUUAAAAGAUUCCCUAGUUGUAGCUAAAAGUUCAUUAUCUUCUUGAUUAAAAGAUAGGACCUCGGCUAUAUAAAAGGGUUGGUUUUGACCUAUUGCAAUCAACUCCGGACACAGAUCAUAAUUAGGGGCAAAGAAAGGACUUGUUGACUCCCAUGGUCUAUGGCUGGUCUUCGAAGGUGCAAAAAAUUCAAUAAUAGGUGUGGAAUUUGAGUUAUCCAUAAACAUGGAAAAAAUAACAAGAUAAAAGAAUAAAAGUAUAAAAGUAUAAUACAAGAUAAUAUCAAGACUCAAAGUUAUCUCAGCAAACCAUCUUUCUCCCCGGAAACGGCGCCAGAAAUGCUUGUUGAUAUUGGGUAACGCCAUCAAGAAAUGAUCCGCAAGCGCAUGGAUAUCGGUGAGCAUUUCACCCGGGAGGUUAUCCAGAGUAUCGUAUUUAUAUUUUUACCACUAGGAGAAAGCGUGCAUCUAACUAACCAAAUCUAUUGCUACUACCCUUUAGGCUACAAACAAUGUGAUUCGAUGUGAGCGAUGUAUAGAGAAGACUACAAC